RNAcentral lists this ribosomal RNA (775 nucleotides) under uncultured Neocallimastigales. Its description in RNAcentral is "partial large subunit ribosomal RNA". It matches the Rfam family "Eukaryotic large subunit ribosomal RNA", at positions 24 to 647 of the family's 3401-position model. Lineage: Eukaryota; Fungi; Neocallimastigomycota; Neocallimastigomycetes; Neocallimastigales. The record is from RNAcentral.
UAUGUGAUCGUCUCUCGCAUAUCAAUAAGCGGAGGAAAAGAAACUAACAAGGAUUCCCCUAGUAACGGCGAGAUGAAGCGGGAAGAGCUCAAAUUUGAAAUCUUAAAGGGUUUCCCUUUACGAAUUGUAGUUUAAAGAAGUGUUUUCUGUUGAGGUUUUGGUAAAAGUUCUUUGGAAUAGGACAUCAUAGAGGGUGAGAAUCCCGUAUUUGACCUUUACUUUCAACUUUGUGAUACACUUUCAAAGAGUCGGAUUGUUUGGGAAUGCAGUCCAAAAUGGGUGGUAAAUUUCAUCUAAAGCUAAAUAUUGGCGAGAGACCGAUAGCGAACAAGUACCGUGAGGGAAAGAUGAAAAGAACUUUGAAAAGAGAGUUAAACAGUACGUGAAAUUGUCAAAAGGGAAGCGUUUGACACCAGUGUUGUUUUUCUGAAAAUCAAUUAAAGAACUGUUUAUGCUAAGCUGUUUAGACUUUAUCAGCUAUCUGUUUAGUUUUGAGCUUUUCUUUAAUGCACUUUUCAGUUAACAAGUCAACAUCAAUUUCUUUUGCUGUAAAAAAGCUUGAGGAAGGUGGCUUGAGAUUCGUCUUAAGUGUUUAUAGCCUCUUGCCUAUGCAGUCGGAGAGAUUGAGGUCUGCAGCGUAGAUCCUUCGGGGCUAAAUGCAUUUGUGCUAAGUUAUAGCAUUUUAUAGACAACUUGUUGACUAUGAUUUGUCUUGUAGCUUACUCGCUUAUGUUAUUUUACCUACGCUUAGGAUGUUGAUCUGUAGUGCGUGCGC